This 75-nucleotide transfer RNA is filed under the name Callorhinchus milii (elephant shark). Its description in RNAcentral is "tRNA-Trp (CCA) (tRNA-Trp-CCA-21-1)". It matches the Rfam family "tRNA". Rfam says of the family: Transfer RNA (tRNA) molecules are approximately 80 nucleotides in length. Their secondary structure includes four short double-helical elements and three loops (D, anti-codon, and T loops). The record is from RNAcentral. Lineage: Eukaryota; Metazoa; Chordata; Chondrichthyes; Chimaeriformes; Callorhinchidae.
GACCACAUCGUGGCGCAACGGUAGCGCGUCUGACUCCAGAUCAGACGGCUACGUGUUCAAAUCAAGUCGAGGUCA